AACGCGAAGAACCUUACCUGGGCUCGAAAUGUACAGGAAUGCGGUAGAAAUAUCGCCGUCCAGCAAUGGACCUGUAUAUAGGUGCUGCAUGGCUGUCGUCAGCUCGUGUCGUGAGAUGUUGGGUUAAGUCCCGCAACGAGCGCAACCCUUAUUACCAGUUGCUACCAUUUAGUUGAGCACUCUGGUGAGACCGCCUCGGAUAACGGGGAGGAAGGCGGGGAUGACGUCAAGUCCUCAUGGCCUUUAUGUCCAGGGCUACACACGUGCUACAAUGGCCGGUACAAACCGUCGCAAACCCGUGAGGGGGAGCUAAUCGGAAAAAGCCGGCCUCAGUUCGGAUUGGAGUCUGCAACUCGACUCCAUGAAGCUGGAAUCGCUAGUAAUCGCGGAUCAGAAUGCCGCGGUGAAUACGUUCCCGGGCCUUGUACACACCGACAUA
RNAcentral lists this ribosomal RNA (439 nucleotides) under uncultured bacterium. RNAcentral describes it as "bacterial SSU rRNA". It matches the Rfam family "Bacterial small subunit ribosomal RNA", at positions 958 to 1397 of the family's 1533-position model. The record is from RNAcentral.